GCCUGGGUGGCUGAGUGGGUUAAAGCCUCUGAUUUAAGCUCAGGUCAUUAUCCCAGGAUCCUGGGAUCGAGCCCCACAUCAGGCU
Molecule: transfer RNA, 85 nt
Filed under: Mustela putorius furo (domestic ferret)
Lineage: Eukaryota; Metazoa; Chordata; Mammalia; Carnivora; Mustelidae
Rfam family: tRNA
About the family: Transfer RNA (tRNA) molecules are approximately 80 nucleotides in length. Their secondary structure includes four short double-helical elements and three loops (D, anti-codon, and T loops).
Source: Rfam by way of RNAcentral